GGCGUGUUACGCUAGUGGUUAGGCGACUUGGUUUUCAACCAGGCGACACGGGUUCGAUCCCCGUACACGCUUCCA
RNAcentral lists this transfer RNA (75 nucleotides) under Chlamydiota bacterium. RNAcentral describes it as "Chlamydiae bacterium tRNA-Glu". It matches the Rfam family "tRNA". Rfam says of the family: Transfer RNA (tRNA) molecules are approximately 80 nucleotides in length. Their secondary structure includes four short double-helical elements and three loops (D, anti-codon, and T loops). Further hydrogen bonds mediate the characteristic L-shaped molecular structure. tRNAs have two regions of fundamental functional importance: the anti-codon, which is responsible for specific mRNA codon recognition, and the 3' end, to which the tRNAs corresponding amino acid is attached (by aminoacyl-tRNA synthetases). tRNAs cope with the degeneracy of the genetic code in two manners: having more than one tRNA (with a specific anti-codon) for a particular amino acid; and 'wobble' base-pairing, i.e. permitting non-standard base-pairing at the 3rd anti-codon position. The record is from RNAcentral. Lineage: Bacteria; Pseudomonadati; Chlamydiota.